CCUACGGGUGGCAGCAGUGAGGAAUAUUGGUCAAUGGACGCAAGUCUGAACCAGCCAUGCCGCGUGCAGGAAGACGGCUCUAUGAGUUGUAAACUGCGUUUGUACGAGGGUAAACGGGGAUACGCGUAUCUGUCUGAAAGGGACGUACGAAUAAGGAUCGGCUAACUCCGUGCCAGCAGCCGCGGGAAUACGGAGGUUUCAAGCGUUAUCCGGAUUUAAGGGGGGUAAAGGGGGCGGAGGCGGUCGGUUAAGUUAGAGGUGAAAUCCCGCGGCUCAACUUCGGAAUUGCCUCUGAUACUGUUCGGCUAGAGCGUAGUUGCGGUAGGCGGCAUGUCUGGUGUAGCGGUGACAUGCUUAGAGAUCAUACAGAACACCGAUUGCGAAGGCAGCUUACCAAGCUACUUCUGACGUUGAGGCACGAAAGCGUGGGGAGCAAACAGGAUUAGAUACCCUAGUAGUC
Molecule: ribosomal RNA, 460 nt
Filed under: uncultured bacterium
Lineage: Bacteria
Description: partial 16S ribosomal RNA
Rfam family: Bacterial small subunit ribosomal RNA
Source: RNAcentral